CUCGUAGGCGGUUUGUCGCGUCUGCUGUGAAAACUGGAGGCUCAACCUCCAGCCUGCAGUGGGUACGGGCAAACUAGAGUGCGGUAGGGGAGAUUGGAAUUCCUGGUGUAGCGGUGGAAUGCGCAGAUAUCAGGAGGAACACCGAUGGCGAAGGCAGAUCUCUGGGCCGUAACUGACGCUGAGGAGCGAAAGCAUGGGAGCGAACA
RNAcentral lists this ribosomal RNA (206 nucleotides) under uncultured bacterium. RNAcentral describes it as "partial 16S ribosomal RNA". It matches the Rfam family "Bacterial small subunit ribosomal RNA", at positions 568 to 774 of the family's 1533-position model. The record is from RNAcentral.